Molecule: long non-coding RNA, 260 nt
Filed under: Gallus gallus (chicken)
Lineage: Eukaryota; Metazoa; Chordata; Aves; Galliformes; Phasianidae
Description: long non-coding RNA NONGGAT002865
Source: RNAcentral
CAUCUCCCCACUUUUCUGCAUGCCUACAGCCCUCGUGCACCCAACCCUGGCAAGCCUUUUUUUACCCCUGUAAUGGCUCCUGCGCCCGUGCGCGUGGCUGUGGGAGCUCCCUGUCCUGCCCAGCACGAAGAUGGACACAGCCCCUCUGCAAGGACGGUGUGAGCAUGCAGCAGCAGCAGCAAUGGCAGCAGCAGGCUGGGAAGCACAGCGCGGUUCCUUGAAGGGCAGUGGUGCUACGACUCGCAGGACCCGAAGUGCGG